GGGGGGGGGCGGGACGCGCAGCAGCGCGGGGGCCGGGCGCAGGCUCCCUACUGCCCUGCCUGGCGCUCGGCGGCCGCCGCUGCCGGGGCGUGCGGCGGAGCGGGCGAAGCGGGAGCGGGGAGAGGAAGGAAGCGAGGGGAGAAAUUAAAUAGGACGAAAUAAAGAAAAGAAAAAAAGGAGGGGGGAAAGAGAGGGAAAAGAGAAGGGAGAAAGCAGAGGGCGGGCGGCUCGGUUCCUCGCUGCUCUCCCCGUCCCCUGGUCGGGCCCCUGGGUCUCUCUGCGCUGCCCUCCCCCUGGCUCGCCCCGUCCGCUCGGCCUCUGGCUCUCUCUCUCCCUCCCUCCGUCGCUCACACACAAACAAAAUGGCGGCUGUUGUUUCUUCACUCUGCCGAGUCCUCGGAGGGAAGCGAGCGGCGGCGGCGGCGGCCGGAAAUGAGCCAAGAGAAAAAAAAAGGGGGCGGGGCCAGAGUCGGGGGGCGGGGCCCGGGGGCGCUGGCGCACACAAUGGAACGCGGGGGGCCGGCGUGCGGCGGCGGACGGGAAGGGCGGGGCCGCAGCAUGGUCACGAGACCGCGCCGACGAGUCAGCGGCCGCCGCUCGCCGGCUUCUUCCGCAAACUGCGUUGGCCCCGCCCCUUAAAGGGGAAGUGCUCAAAAAAAAAAAAAAAACGCUUCGCUUUCCUCCUUCCUCUCGUCACGCACUUUUCUGUCGGCCGAGAAGCGCCCGGCAGCGGUGGCGGUGGCUCGGAGCAGGCCUGCAGCACCGCUAGGCCCCGCCCCACCCCUACGCCGUCAGUCGGGUCCCGCCGGGCCCGGCGCCCGACGUCACUCUCCACAGCCAUAACCCCUCGCAGCCCCUGAGCCAUUUGAGGGCUUAACGGGGAUUAGCGGCUGGCCAGGGGUUGCUCAAACCUUUAAACGCUCAUCAUCUGUCAUUAGCGAGGAAAUGCCCCGGCCCAGCUCCUCUGUGAAGCGAUAAGAGGGGGAAGGAAGCGCGGGGCUGCGUGUGUGGAAAGGCGCAGUUCCUUUUGAUGCGCGCUGUCCGGUUUGGAAGGAAUUAGAGCUCUGUGUGGCGGUUCAUCAAUAAAAGAGUCUCGACAAAUUAUACAUUUUUAUCUUCUGAAGGCCGAAGUGUUGGGAUUUCUACCUUGAACCAGGCAGGGGGAUAGAGACUCACACCUCAUCAUACACGAUCUGUGAGGCCUUCACGGCCUCAGCACCCAACCUCCCCUCACCACCUGCUCUGAGCCCGGACUGAAGCAGGUAUUCAGGAAGAGCCUAUCACAAAAACCAGUGAAUGUGACCAAAAACAGCUGGUAGAGCUUCCCGACCCUCUCACUGUUAUCCUCCAGUUCCCUCACCUACUCCCACCUGUGAGCUUCCCGUAUUUGGGCUUUAUUUCAAGGAGAGCUGUCGUGGUUUCCCUCAGCACCAGAGGGAAAAUGGGAGCAGGGCUCUGCUCAAACAGCUCCAGAAGCGAUCAAAGAUUCGACAUGUCUUAUCUCUCCCGAAGAGUUCUGGAGCGACAGUGUCCAAAUCCAUACGUUUAAAGAUGAAGCUGAAGACAUCUGGCAAAAACAAAACAAACAAAACAACAAAAAACCCAAGCAAUAGGAAACAGUCUGGAGAUGGGAAAGCUUAUUGCUCCCAGAACUAAAGUUGCUAGGGUUAACAAUGACCAAACAGCAGCACCUUACAGUCUGUGUUACGGUUCUCACUGGUUUUUGCCUCCGAUUGCUGCUAAAUUCCCAGAAGUACCCCAGUCACAGAAGUCUUGUAUUACCUCAGUUUAUUUUGUCAGAUUGACUAUUUCCCUUGCUUGUGAAGCACUUUAUUUUUGUUAAGCACAGCUGAGACUAAUUUUAACCUUUUUUUUUUUUAACUUUUUUUAAAGUCCCCUUAGAAUUAAAAGCUGACUGAAAUAAGUCUAUGUACAGUUUUCAGACUCUCCAGAGGCCCUUAAUCCAUACUUCAAGAAGGAAUUAGUGCCAGCUUUAUAAAGAUACCAAGGUGCACGUAAACACCUACGUGCUUUUAAAAAUCUGGCCCUUACUAAACAGCAAGUUUGGAGGAAAGCAGAUGUUUCAAGUUUUGUGACACUCGUCCCUAUCUAGAGGCUUGCUCCUACCAACAGUUGCGUGUAGCACAUAGUUCCACUGAAAUCUUGCUGUACUGCUUGCCAUAGUAAAACUGAGCACGUGUGUUCACUGGAUCACAGCCUAAAAGUUAAGAAACUGGGCAGCUAUUUGCUACUCCAGAGAGUAUCACAAGCAUCAGUUGGUUUAGUUAAGCACUAGAGGAAGCUGACAGAAAAAAACCCAACAAAGUCCUUUAUUUGUGUAGCUUCCUCUCUGUUCAGCCUUAGAACAACUUUAGUGACGUGUACCUGUCUUAUCCAAACUGUGGGAAACAUAUAUCCUUGGUGAGUGCUACCAGACCUGCAUCUAUAUUCUUCACAUUAACGUAUUAAUUGAUACAUUAGUAAAACCAUACCUCUUCCAAUAGAGGUUUCACAGCCAGAAGACUAUGUUAGUUCUUUACAUGUUAGCUUUCCACAUUAGGAAAAUAGAUAUAAGCUGAAGCAUAUGGAAAAUAAAUUAAAAAUAAAGAUGAAAUGCUACUUGUCAUUUUUUUACUGGGAAAAUACCCAGCUCCCUAAAAAAGACAAGGAGAAAAGAAAAAGAAAAAAAAACACAUAAAUAGAGUAGAAAUAAAUAAAUAAAAAAUUAAAAGGGAGAAAGCCUUCAGCAUCUGUUCAUUUUCCUAAAAACAUUGCAGUUUUCUUAACUGAACCUCACUACAGAAGCACAAAACCAACUGUUGUUAAGUGUCAUCUGCCAAAAUGAAAAUAUUUUAAAUUACUGGAAAACAAUAAUAAAACAUAAAGUAUUCUAAAAACCAAACAUGUAGAUCUAUAUGAAUAAAACUAAGAAAAGAUUCAACUAGUAAAAAGAAAACAGCUAUUUUCCAAAGAACAAGCACCUCUCCUCCUUACCUCAGUUUCCACAUCCCCACACUGAGGACAGUAGUACUUAUUCCUUGAGAAAUAAUACCCAGAAGAAUUAAUUAGCUCAUUAUUGCCAGUAAUUACAGUGGUUGUUAUGUGCUUUGAGAUAGCUGGGUGAAAGUACCGUAAGUCUGAUUAAAAUGAGAACCUGCUCAGUAAAGCAAUAAGACGAGGAAUGCGAGACCUUGAACUUUUAUCAUGGGAUCUCAUUUGGUCUUAGCUGGUAGCAGUUGAACACUGUAAGCAUGCCCAGCUGCUCUGAGGGCUACAGGGAAUGAGAUAACAUCCUGUCGUGCUGUGAGAGUCAGUGAAGUGCCCAGAACGUGGUGUCCUAGCAUCGAUAGCACAAGCAUUUCCCCCUCCCAUUGGUGCGUGGGAUGCUCCUAUCUUCUCGUCCCUGUCCCCUUCUAUAGUUUCCAGCUGUUUUCACUUUCUUGUGAGCUUCCCGUGGCUGAUGCCUGUGGCUAGCAGGUAAUUUCUCCUCUGUGCUUCAACUGCCUCCAGCUGCUGCAGCUUCUCCUAAGUGGGAGAAGGAGGAAUGACCCUUGCUUCCAAUGAAAGAGGGGGACCUGUAUGCAGAGGGUCCCUCUUGGAGUGGGUCAGAAGGAUGAGGAAAUGAUUUAAGGCUUCAAUCUUUGCAAGCAAUGCCAGGGCACAGUGAUAUUUCUGGAAAGCAGGACCCAGCUGUGCCUGAGCAGAGAGCGCUGCUCAGCACGGUGUCAAUGUUGAAACCCAGCAACAUUUUGAUACGAGACAAAUUUUAUUAAAACCAUAAGAAGCAACCAGUCAAUAGCUGGUUCUUGCAGCUAGCUUAUACAUAAAAGAAACGCCUGGCUGGCUGACAACAAGCAAAAUGCUUGCAGUCCUCGGCCCCAGAAAUGCAGGCUUCCUUAGUCACACAGCUUUCAAUAGCUGCAAACAGAGUUAUGUUGCUAAAUGUUAAGGGCUCAGCUGUUUACCAGAAGAAUGUUUCCUCCCCGGAACACAUGGUUUUGCUUAAAAGAACUUCUCCAAAACACUUAAUUUCAUUAGCAAAUGCAGCAUUAUCGUCCUAACAAACAUGCCAUACAGUGUCCCUUUGAAAGAGCAAAAAGUGCAGAGUAGACUGCUGGGUUUAGCAGAGGGGCAGAGGUGGACUCUGUGUAGGAAACACCACUGCUUGAAAUCUGGUGAUUUAAAGCUGAUCUCACACUCUGAAAUGCAUUUAUCGUUAUGCAUUGUUUUCAUAUUCUGUUCCACGUCAAAAGCACAAGUGUGGAAUAGCACCAGGAGACUCGCCUGCUGUCCCAGUGUUGGCAAAUCACCAUCUUUCACUCCCGAAGCUCAGCUCUUCCCUUCAGCAGGGAGGUGAUGCUUCCCCUCUUACAUAAAGCACAUUGGGAUCGUUACACAGGAACGUCGGUGCCACUGUUUCUCUGUGACCUCUCUUCUGUCUUCUGAAUGAAAUUGCAUUUAAAUGAAUACAUUUACAGCAGCAGCUGAUUUAUCCUGAAGUACUACAGAGACGAAAGCAAGAGGUUACAGAGCGAAAACAUCAUAUUUUUAGUUAAGUUGCUUUGAGCGUGUGGAUGGUGAAGUGAUGGCAAACGUCUGACCAAUUUGGUCAGCUCAGCACUGUAUUCACAAUGAUCUCCUAAAAAUGAUCUUUAUGCGAUGGAGCUCAAGCUAAUAUGGAAAAUCUGUGCUGAAAGAAUUACAGUGAUAGGAAUGACCCUGAGGAAGCGUGCUGUUCACAUUCCUCUUACUUCUUUUGACUCUGGUAUCCAAUGGGAAACUUCUUGAUAAGCUUUAUUGUGCUGCAGAAGGUAUAAACAAUGUGUUUUGAAAUCUGCUGAGCUUAAACCCUAAACUUAUUUUUUAAUUUGCUUCUGAAUUGUCCCACAGAUAUAAAUCCUCUGUCCAUCCAUGUGCUUAUAAGGAGCAAAAUAUGUUUCUGUUAUGCCUUUUUUUCAUUUAACAGUGUGUUCAUUGAAUUUAGAUUUUUUUUUAUGUACUGCAAUAUUCUAUAUACUGAACUGCAGUCUAUCUCUUGAUGUUUGCAAUCAAAAUUUAAAGUAGGAAAUAGUAACAUUUUUCUGAUUUGCUCAUUUUCAUGCUUCAGGAUAUAAGGUGAUUCUUGCAGUAAGGUCAGGAAGGAAUUUACUCUUCAGCAGAGAAAUGUACUGAAUAGAGUGGUGUUCACUACGGAGGGCAUUGGCCUUCAGACGGAGCUAAUGGGACCCUGUUUUUCACAUGAGCCUUCAUGAGUGCUUUCCUUCUACACAUAGGUAGAAGUCAAUAAUUAACCACAAACACCAAAAGCCAAGUGAUACUAAUGCAACAUCUUGGUGUGUAAAACAAUAAGGUUAAUCAUCAGUUACUUACCUUCCUAAUGCAUUUGGCUUUAUCACUUCUCUUCCCAGAAGGUCCAUCAUGAAUCUUCACGUUGCAAAAUCCAUGAGGUUUUUCUUCUCUCAUUCUCUUCUAUCAAGUGAUGCUGACGUUAGGUGGCCUUGGACUUUAUGCUGUCAUGAGGCCAAGUUGUUAGCAUCCUCCAACUGCCUUGUACAAGGGGCCAUGGAGAUCAGACUCUGAUGGUGUUAUAGCCCUAAAUACUGUCCCACUGCAAAAUUUUAGAGAACUUUUUAAUGUUGUUUUCAUCACGCAGACAUGAAGUGCUUUGUUUUACUUCUGUUAUAGCGGAAGAAACAUACAGAUGACACUGGGGGGACGUAGCAGGCUUUCCCUGGUGAUCAGAAAAGUGAUUUGAAGUUUGAUGUUAAAUCACAGAAUCAUAGAAUGGCUUGAGUUGAAAGGGACCUCAAAGAUCAUCUGGUUCCAACCCCCUGCCGUGGGCAGAUGAAGCACCAGAUCAGGUAGCCCAAGGCUCCAUCCAGCCUGGCCUUGAAUGCCUCCAGGUGUUGUUACUUUAUUCUCAAUACUUACACAAUUGCAAAUAUUUUGCUGUUCAAGAACCAGCUCUAAGGAAGAAAAACUGCAAAGUGGGAGAUGUACAGACGUCAUAAAAUGUUGGAAAGUCCAGAUGAGCCUUUCACCAGCUCACACGAUGGAAGCAAGGAGUAAAUGCUUGGCACAAGGGUGUGGGCCCCAUGAAAGAGACUGGGGCUUGGUGGCUGUGCCUGAGUCAUCACUGCACAUUUACUCCCUUGCAAGAAAAACCUUCGUGACUUAUUUUGGCCGAGGUGGGUGCCAGGUCUGUUGGGACAUGGCCUGCACUGGGCCCAUCCCCAUUCACAGGGCCAAGGCAAGGGCUGAGGCAUGGAAUGAAGGGUGCAUAGCUCUUUUCUGGGUGUUUUAAUUAAACGAUGGAGAGGAAGUCCAAGAAAAUGCCUAAAAAGGCUUGAGCCCUUCCUCCCUAUCUGGAAAUGGAGGCUGGCAGUUGGCCCGGCCACCAAACCCCCCCUCCCCAGGGCUGUAUUUCUCCCUUCUUUCCAAUGUGGAGCAAACAGCCCAUGCUGAGGCGACCAGCGCUCACAUGCCUGCUCUGACAGUAAUCCAUCAUCCCCUGUCCCAAAGCCUGGCCUAGGAUGGAGUGACUGAAGUCUGACAGGGCCCAGUCCUGCUUACGAGCAGAGGGCUGAUUUUAAAAGAGGCUGCUGCUGGAAACAAAACCCAAUUAAAGCCUGCCACUGACUGAAAUUGGCCACAAACCAGGCCUGUAACAGCUUUCCCAGUAAAAAUAAGAAUUAAAAAAAUGGCUUGUUUAUAAUUUUUUAAGCCAGCACAAAGUUCAGGCAAUACAUUCUGGCCUUGUCACAAAGCUAACAGAUAUCAGUGUCUGUAACAAACACGAUUAACUAACUGGAUGGUCAGGAAGGCCACAUCCUGUACUCAUACAUGGUGUGAUGUCCUCUGCUGUAGGUGUAUAGGUCCAGGGCAGCUGACCUCGAUCCUGCAUUUCUGUUACAAAAUCCCCAUGCAUCAUUACAGACCUGGGGCAGAGUGGCUGGAAAGAUGCGUGGAGGAAAAGGAUCUGGGGGUGCUAGCUGACAGCCAGCAAACAUGAGCCAGCAGUGUGCCCAGGUGGCCAAGAAGGCCAAUGGCAUCCUGGCUUGUAUCAGAAAUAGUGCAGCCAGCAGGAGCAGGAAGGUGACCAUCUCUCUGUACUCAGCUCUGGUGAGGCUGCACCUCGAGUGCUGUGUUCAGUUCUGGGCCCCUCACUGCAAGAAAGACAUGGAGGCCCUGGAGUGUGUCCAGAGAAGGGCGGCG
RNAcentral lists this long non-coding RNA (7215 nucleotides) under Gallus gallus (chicken). The record is from RNAcentral. Lineage: Eukaryota; Metazoa; Chordata; Aves; Galliformes; Phasianidae.